AAUUCCUUGUCGGGUAAGUUCCGACCUGCACGAAUGGCGUAACGAUGGGGGCGCUGUCUCUACCCGAGACUCAGUGAAAUUGAAAUCGCCGUGAAGAUGCGGUGUAUCCGCGGCUAGACGGAAAGACCCCGUGAACCUUUACUAUAGCUUCACAGUGAACUUUGAGCAUGUUUGUGUAGGAUAGCUGGGAGGCUUUGAAGUGGGAACGCCAGUUCUCAUGGAGCCAACCUUGAAAUACCAGCCUGACAUGUUUGAGGUUCUAACUUGGACCCCUUAUCGGGGUUGAGGACACUGUGUGGUGGGUAGUUUGACUGGGGCGGUCUCCUCCCAAAGCGUAACGGAGGAGCACAAAGGUGGGCUAAGCAUGGUCGGACAUCAUGCGGUUAGUGUAAUGGCACAAGCCCGCUUAACUGCGAGACAGACACGUCGAGCAGGUACGAAAGUAGGUCAUAGUGAUCCGGUGGUUCUGUAUGGAAGGGCCAUCGCUCAACGGAUAAAAGGUACUCUGGGGAUAACAGGCUGAUACCGCCCAAGAG
This 536-nucleotide ribosomal RNA is filed under the name Goniomonas pacifica. RNAcentral describes it as "partial Bacterial large subunit ribosomal RNA". It matches the Rfam family "Bacterial large subunit ribosomal RNA", at positions 1963 to 2498 of the family's 2925-position model. The record is from RNAcentral. Lineage: Eukaryota; Cryptophyceae; Goniomonadida; Goniomonadaceae.